UAGUUCAUCAACAUCAACCAACAGGAACAAUAGAGAAGGAUAUUUCUCAGACAGCUCACGGUAGAAUGGUGCAAUCAUCCUACAAGGACCACACCAUGUUGCACUGAAAUUCACCAAAACAGUUUUGCCCUCCCUAUUAGCUUCUGACAGCUUCUGCUCCCAGACCUCUUGGGCAGUAAUGAGAUGCACAUUACUGCCAACAAAUUCAACAUGCUGAACAGAAUCAUCUUCCCCCUUUUUUGAGCAUAAGCAUUGUCCCAUAUCUUAUAUAGAUAGCCAAAAUUUUAAUCCCUAGCAGCUAAUUCCCUCCUUUUCUUCUUUUCCUGGAUCGAUUUGAUGAGUAUACAAGAGGACGAAUAUCU
RNAcentral lists this unclassified non-coding RNA (362 nucleotides) under Hevea brasiliensis (rubber tree). The record is from RNAcentral. Lineage: Eukaryota; Viridiplantae; Streptophyta; Magnoliopsida; Malpighiales; Euphorbiaceae.